AUUCUCAGUUCGGAUUGUAGGCUGAAACUCGCCUACAUGAAGCUGGAGUUACUAGUAAUCGCAGAUCAGAAUGCUGCGGUGAAUGCGUUCCCGGGUCUUGUACACACCGCCCGUCACACCACGGAAGUUGGGGGCGCCCAAAGCCACUUAGCUAACCCAUUUGGGAAGCGAGUGUCGAAGGUGAAAUCAAUAACUGGGGUGAAGUCGUAACAAGGUAGC
RNAcentral lists this ribosomal RNA (219 nucleotides) under uncultured bacterium. RNAcentral describes it as "partial 16S ribosomal RNA". It matches the Rfam family "Bacterial small subunit ribosomal RNA", at positions 1284 to 1500 of the family's 1533-position model. The record is from RNAcentral.